UACGAAGGGUGCAAGCGUUGUUCGGAAUUACUGGGCGUAAAGCGCGCGUAGGCGGGUCAGUAAGUCGAUUGUGAAAGCCCUGGGCUUAACCUGGGAAUGGCAGUCGAAACUACUGAUCUUGAAUGUCUGAGAGGAUGGCGGAAUAACCGGUGUAGUAGUGAAAUACGUAGAUAUCGGUUAGAACACCUGAGGCGAAGGCGGCUAUCUGGCGGCACAUUGACGCUGAUGCGCGAAAGCGUGGGGAGCAAACAGG
RNAcentral lists this ribosomal RNA (253 nucleotides) under uncultured bacterium. RNAcentral's name for it is "partial 16S ribosomal RNA". It matches the Rfam family "Bacterial small subunit ribosomal RNA", at positions 524 to 776 of the family's 1533-position model. The record is from RNAcentral.